Acipenser ruthenus (sterlet) is the source of this 1126-nucleotide long non-coding RNA. RefSeq lists it as uncharacterized. Lineage: Eukaryota; Metazoa; Chordata; Actinopteri; Acipenseriformes; Acipenseridae. The transcript has 5 exons. The record is from RefSeq and is a predicted model, not a curated record.
AUAACGACGUACAUGAACCGGAAGCACUUGAAUACAAUACAGAACAUUUAACCACAUGCAAAUAACAGCUGGGAUUUGUGCAGGCUCUUAAACGUGUUGAUAGCGAUUGCAAUUGAUUUUACAAUGACGAAUACCUGCCGUAAUGGAGUACCACCGCUGUGACCUGGCAAAGGUCAACCAAAAGUGAAAAGGUGACCCUGACCAGGAAACACACCCUGGGCUCAACGAAGACGCUGCCUUGUUUGACUCAUAAUGAAUAGGGCUUUCGAGAAAAAAAAAAUACCAGGAGCCCAAGAUCUACAAGAAUCAAGCAGAACAUUUUGAACAGUCUGUCCUCAGAAGGGCCACUUGAAGGUGUUCGGUCCGGCAGGAUGCAUCACCUUCACUUGUGCUCCAUCAUCAGAGACGUUCUCAGCUUCUCCAGGGAACAUGUUAUUGUGCUACAGCACCUUCACCCUGUCACCAGAUGCAGCUGAGCUGGACCCUUCUGGAUAACUGCACCUUUCAACACUGUCACCACUUUCACUGGAGCUGAGAGUCUGUAAACCUGAACUGUCUCUGCCUGUCCCGGUGUCUUCGGAAGAAAAGUGCCAUUUGGUCACCCUAGUAAUAACGACUUUAAUGGGUCACAGAGAACAGAACCAGGGCCCACGAGUGGAAGCUGAGGAAGGGCAUAUUCAGAACUGAAGGGAGAAAGAGCUUUUUCACAGAAAGGGUGGUGAACCAUUGGAACAGGCUGCCGGACAGAGUUGUUGAAGCAGAAACUAUUGGAUCCUUCAAGAAUAAACUAGAUGCUGUCAUGAACAAUACUGUAUAACCCUCUCUGUGACCUUAAUAAGACCUUUAGCUAGCCACCUGGAGGGAGGGCUGUCCGUCUAGCCAUGGAUUCCCAGAGGUUUCAUUCUCCUCCUAACCUGGUUCGGGGGUUUUUGUUUUUCCUCUCCGAAGUCUUAACGGACCACGCUGGCACCAAAGCCAACCAGCAUAGGUGGGCCGGGUGGCCUUUUUCUUUUUCUUGAAUUUGUUAUGUUCUAAAUAACAAGUGUUUGACCUGAAUGACCUUCCAUAGGCAAAUAUGAGAGAGAGAGCAAGCCCAGAAUAUAUCCAGAGGCUAAAAAAAUAAAAG